UACGGAGGGAGCUAGCGUUGUUCGGAAUCACUGGGCGUAAAGGGCGCGUAGGUGGCCUGAUAAGGGUGUGGUGAAAGUCCGGGGCUCAACCCCGGAUCUGCCGUGCCGACUGUCAGGCUAGAGUACUGUAGAGGCAGGCGGAAUUCCGGGUGUAGCGGUGGAAUGCGUAGAGAUCCGGAGGAAGACCGGUGGCGAAGGCGGCCUGCUGGGCAGUUACUGACGCUGAGGCGCGACAGCGUGGGGAGCAAACAGG
RNAcentral lists this ribosomal RNA (253 nucleotides) under uncultured bacterium. Its description in RNAcentral is "partial 16S ribosomal RNA". It matches the Rfam family "Bacterial small subunit ribosomal RNA", at positions 524 to 776 of the family's 1533-position model. The record is from RNAcentral.